This 296-nucleotide unclassified non-coding RNA is filed under the name uncultured Conocybe. Its description in RNAcentral is "sequence contains ITS2". The stretch from base 1 to 52 matches the Rfam family "5.8S ribosomal RNA", at positions 103 to 154 of the family's 154-position model. The record is from RNAcentral. Lineage: Eukaryota; Fungi; Basidiomycota; Agaricomycetes; Agaricales; Bolbitiaceae.
AACGCACCUUGCGCUCCUUGGUAUUCCGAGGAGCAUGCCUGUUUGAGUGUCAUUAAAUUCUCAAUCUCUACAACUUUGUGUUGUCUAGAUCGGAAGUGGGGGUUUAUUGUGUGGAAUCUAAUUCCUCACUCCCCUUAAAUGCAUUAGCUGGAAUGCCUCUGCAUAUCUGACUAUCAGUGUGAUAAUUAUCUAUGCUGUAGUUGUUGCAUGAGGGUAUCUGCUUCAUAAAUCGUCGCAAGACAAUUCUAUAUGACCAUCUUGACCUCAAAUCAGGUAGGACUACCCGCUGAACUUAA